This 240-nucleotide ribosomal RNA is filed under the name uncultured bacterium. RNAcentral describes it as "partial 16S ribosomal RNA". It matches the Rfam family "Bacterial small subunit ribosomal RNA", at positions 1261 to 1500 of the family's 1533-position model. The record is from RNAcentral.
CGUGGAGCAAACCUACAGAAAGCCAAUCUCAGUUCGGAUUGUAGGCUGCAACUCGCCUACAUGAAGUUGGAAUCGCUAGUAAUCGCGAAUCAGAAUGUCGCGGUGAAUACGUUCCCGGGUCUUGUACACACCGCCCGUCACACCACGAGAGUUUACAACACCCGAAGUCAGUGGCCUAACCGCAAGGAGGGAGCUGCCUAAGGUGGGUAGAUGAUUGGGGUGAAGUCGUAACAAGGUAGC